Molecule: ribosomal RNA, 494 nt
Filed under: uncultured bacterium
Lineage: Bacteria
Description: partial 16S ribosomal RNA
Rfam family: Bacterial small subunit ribosomal RNA
Source: RNAcentral
AUGAACGCUGGCGGCGUGCCUAAUACAUGCAAGUAGAACGCUGAAGGAGGAGCUUGCUCUUCUGGAUGCGUUGCGAACGGGUGAGUAACGCGUAGGUAACCUGCCUGGUAGCGGGGGAUAACUAUUGGAAACGAUAGCUAAUACCGCAUGACAACAGUUAUUGCAUGAUAACUGUUUAAAAGGGGCAACUGCUCCACUACCAGAUGGACCUGCGUUGUAUUAGCUAGUUGGUGAGGUAACGGCUCACCAAGGCGACGAUACAUAGCCGACCUGAGAGGGUGAUCGGCCACACUGGGACUGAGACACGGCCCAGACUCCUACGGGAGGCAGCAGUAGGGAAUCUUCGGCAAUGGACGGAAGUCUGACCGAGCAACGCCGCGUGAGUGAAGAAGGUUUUCGGAUCGUAAAGCUCUGUUGUAAGAGAAGAACGAGUGUGAGAGUGGAAAGUUCACACUGUGACGGUAUCUUACCAGAAAGGGACGGCUAACUACGUG